RNAcentral lists this unclassified non-coding RNA (1550 nucleotides) under Portunus trituberculatus (swimming crab). Its description in RNAcentral is "uncharacterized LOC123519005, transcript variant X1". Lineage: Eukaryota; Metazoa; Arthropoda; Malacostraca; Decapoda; Portunidae. The record is from RNAcentral.
GAAUAACGGACCAAAGGGGGGGUAAGUACCGUUGUCUUCCCUCCGUCACCCUCAUUUCCUCCUUUCUAUAUAUUCUCUCUCUUUCUCUUUCUCUCUGUAUAUAUUUACUCUUCUUGCUCGGUCAUUGUCUUUAUAGCACAAGUCUACCCCGCUCCUCCUCACUUGCUACUCCACACCAGACCUCAUCUCUCUUCUCUUUCAGCUUUGUCCGUCCUACUUUCCUCCUUUCCCCCUCCACUAGCACACGGGUCUCGUCAGUCCCCACUCCUCGCAGUGUAGCGCCAGGCACCAUGUGCUAUACAGGCGUGAGUGAUGUUUACAACUAUCGCUCGUCGCCGUGGUGCUCUCUAUGUUUCGUGGCUCCUGUUCCUUCUCUAUUUCAUCUUCCUCAAAACGCGUAAUUCAGACACACGAUCUGCUGACGCCGUGCCGUACGAUGAAUACGACUGUGGGUGUCCACGUUUCGGUCCGUCCCUUCGAAGUGGAGAUGUGUUGUCUCUGUGCAGUGAGUGGUCCAGCAGUCGGGGAGGAGGUCAGAAGGUGGUGGCGUACAGUGUUUACGGUGAUAUCAGCAAGGAGGAAGUCAACAGGCAAUACUACUCUGAAAUAGAAGAACGAGCCAAGGAUGUAGCCACUCAGUAUGAAGGCUGGGUCAUGCGGCUCUACCAUAACAUAUCAAGGUCACAUCAGAACAGCAGCGACCUACUCUGUAACCUGUACUGCCGGUACCCUCACCUUGACCUGUGCCUCGUGACCCGCUUGUAUCCCCUUCCCCCACAAGACGCAGUGAAGGAAGGCCAUCAUGAAAGCGAGAGGACUAGGGGGCGCCUCUCUCUGCACCAAGACACGAAAGCGAGUUAUGAGAAGCGAUUGGCGGCGAAGAUGUGGCGUUUCCUACCUAUGGCGGAUCCUUUGGUGUCUGAGUUCCUGGUGAGAGAUCUUGACUCGUCCAUCCUGCCCCGGGAAGUCGCAGCAGUGAAUCAGUGGCGGGCCAACUCCACAGCCCUUGUGCACAUCAUGAGAGACCAUCCCAGUCACAACGGCCUCAUUCUUGCAGGUAUGUGGGGAGGAUCGAGAGAGCGAGGCGCAGCUAACUUGACCUCGAUGCUGCACGCCAUGACGCGCUGGCCGCCGCGUGAUAUCUGGGACUACGACCAGAUGCUCCUCAAGAGAGUCGUCUGGCCCGAGGUCCUGGAUAGCGCUUUGUUCUGCGCUGCCUGGAUCUUAUGGUCAAUCUCUCUCUCUCUAUGCCUCCAUCCUUCGCUACAUAGGAGCCAAGAUAUCUGAAGGCGUCCAUGCACUUUCAGCAGUUUGUGGUCCUGCAUGAACAGGUCGCCUCCCUGUGCUACAUUGCAGUCCAGCUUGUCCACGAUAGCUAUUUCUGCGCCAACCCACACUUCCAGUCCCGCCACCGCGCCGUGCCCUUCCCCACGCGCAGGGACGGCCGCCUCUUCGUUGGGUGGGGACGCACUAGAGCCGAUGAGCGGAAGACUAUUAUUAACUGUCCUGUGCAGUGUAGGCCCAGGAACCACCUAGACUGGCUACAAUGC